AGCGUUCCAAGCAAUCCAACAAAGAAGUUGGUGGUCCAGAGCUAUCCGAUCCUGAGGCACCUGCUGCUGGUCCAAGAUCUAAUGAUAUAUCCCAGAAAGGAUCGAUCGUCGUAGACACUCCGCUGGAAUGAUCAGACGACAUCGCUCUGGAGACCACCGGUGAAAAUUUGAUCUAUUAUACAGUUGCAAUGAUGCGGAUUAUCCUUAACGAGGAUUGGCGCAGCCUCACAGUGCCUAUGAAGGACAUCGAGUGUCGCGAUAAAGAACUCGUGAGCGUCUUGCUGUUCGUAACCAGCCAAGUGUCUGGCGUGGGUCCAAAUCAAGUGGAGUAGCUUGUGAAGUGUCAAGGGCGCCUUGCUACCGGAGUAGAACUCCUGAAAGAGGUGAGACACUUCGCAGACUAGGCAACGGCUCGGUUGAGGGCAGUGAUGACGAUCAGCGAGGAAGUAGUCUCGGAGAAGAGCAUGCUCCUGUAUGUGACCCUUGACAUAGCAGCCGAAGAAUAUACAAUGUAGACAGGAGUGUAGACGAUCCUUGUAGGUUUUACAUGUAUGACACAAACAGCUUACUGCCUGUAAAAAAAAUACCAUGAUUUACCGUGUUCUAGAAAAUUCGCUGAUAUUGAAAUAUUAAGUAGUUUGUUAAAUAAAAUUAAUCAUGAGCGUGGACAGUAUCGUUGAUGAAAUAUAAUUAGAAUUACGUAUAAAAAUGAAUAUAUAAAAAAUCUGCCAAGUGUCAAAGACUAGAAAGCUAAUGCGUGCGAAUAUGAAAACAUCUGAUUUGACGAAAAUGAGUAAAAGUGAUUGUACUCUAGAAAGAUAGGAAAAUAAAAUAAGAUAAUACAUU
This is an RNA transcript of Cephus cinctus (wheat stem sawfly), 846 nucleotides long. RefSeq lists it as uncharacterized. Lineage: Eukaryota; Metazoa; Arthropoda; Insecta; Hymenoptera; Cephidae. The transcript has 3 exons. The record is from RefSeq and is a predicted model, not a curated record.